GAUGAACGCUGGCGGCGUGCCUAAUACAUGCAAGUCGAGCGAACGUACGAGAAGCUUGCUUCUCUGAUGUUAGCUGCGCACGGGUGAUUACCACGUGGAUAACCUACCUAUAAGACUGGGAUAACUUCGGGAAACCGGAGCUAAUACCGGAUAAUAUUUUGAACCGCAUGGUUCAAAAGUGAAAGACGGUCUUGCUGUCCCUUAUAGAUGGAUCCGCGCUGCAUUAGCUAGUUGGUAAGGUAACGGCUUACCAAGGCAACGAUGCAUAGCCGACCUGAGAGGGUGAUCGGCCACACUGGAACUGGGAAACGGUCCAGACUCCUACGGGAGGCAGCAGUAGGGAAUCGUCAGCAAUGGACGAAAGCCUGACGGAGCAACGCCGCGUGAGUGAGGAAGGUCUUCGGAUCGUAAAACUCUGUUAUUAGGGAAGAACAUAUGUGUAAGUAACUGUGCACAUCUUGACGGUACCUAAUCAGAAAGCCACGGCUAACUACGUG
This 497-nucleotide ribosomal RNA is filed under the name uncultured bacterium. RNAcentral's name for it is "partial 16S ribosomal RNA". It matches the Rfam family "Bacterial small subunit ribosomal RNA", at positions 28 to 507 of the family's 1533-position model. The record is from RNAcentral.